AGGGAAGUAGUUAAUAAUAACAUUUAAUUUGCAAUUAAAAAGUACUUUCUAAGUCUUCCUUA
This 62-nucleotide transfer RNA is filed under the name Helotrephes semiglobosus. RNAcentral describes it as "tRNA-Ala". RNAcentral also lists the same sequence under 1 other name. The record is from RNAcentral. Lineage: Eukaryota; Metazoa; Arthropoda; Insecta; Hemiptera; Helotrephidae.